Molecule: ribosomal RNA, 301 nt
Filed under: uncultured bacterium
Lineage: Bacteria
Description: partial 16S ribosomal RNA
Rfam family: Bacterial small subunit ribosomal RNA
Source: RNAcentral
CAGCCGCCGCGGGAAUACGAACCGUGCGAACGUUAUUCGGAAUCACUGGGCUUAAAGCGCGUGUAGGCGGGCCGCCACGUCGGCUGCUGAAAUCCCCCGGCUCAACCGGGGAAGUGGCACCGAUACGAGCGGCCUCGAGGGGGGUAGGGGGCGCUGGAACUUCCGGUGGAGCGGUGAAAUGCGUUGAGAUCGGAAGGAACGCCCGUGGCGAAAGCGAGUGCCUGGACCCUUUCUGACGCUGAGACGCGAAAGCCAGGGGAGCGAACGGGAUUAGAUACCCCCGUAGUCCCUGUCUCUUAUA